GCCUUCGUGGUGUAAUGGUCAGCAUACUUAGCUCGUAACCGAGACGUCCGUGGUUCGAGUCUCGGUGAGGGGA
Stegodyphus mimosarum is the source of this 73-nucleotide non-coding RNA. The record is from Rfam. Lineage: Eukaryota; Metazoa; Arthropoda; Arachnida; Araneae; Eresidae.